GAUAAACGCUGGCGGCGUACAUAAGACAUGCAAGUCGAACGAACCAAACUUUUUGUUUACAAGAAGCGAGGUUAGUGGCGGACUGGUGAGUAACACAUAAGUAACCUGCCUGUUAGAGUGGAAUAACAAUGAGAAAUCAUUGCUAAUACCGCAUAUGCCAUAGUUACCACAUGGUAACAGUGGGAAAGGAGUAAUCCGCUAACAGAUGGACUUAUGGCUGAUUAGCUAGUUGGUAAGGUAAUGGCUUACCAAGGCGACGAUCAGUAGCCGGACUGAGAGGUUGAACGGCCACAUUGGGACUGAGAUACGGCCCAGACUCCUACGGGAGGCAGCAGUCGGGAAUAUUGCGCAAUGGAGGAAACUCUGACGCAGUGACGCCGCGUAUAGGAAGAAGGUUUUCGGAUUGUAAACUAUUGUCGUUAGGGAAGAAAAGGACAGUACCUAAGGAGGAAGCUCCGGCUAACUACGUGCCAGCAGCCGCGGUAAUACGUAGGGAGCGAGCGUUAUCCGGAAUUAUUGGGUGUAAAGGGUGCGUAGACGGGUUAUCAAGUUAGUUGUGAAAUCCCUCGGCUUAACCGAGGAACUGCAACUAAAACUGAUAAUCUUGAGUGCAGGAGAGGUAAGUGGAAUUCCUAGUGUAGCGGUGAAAUGCGUAGAUAUUAGGAGGAACACCAGUGGCGAAGGCGACUUACUGGACUGUAACUGACGUUGAGGCACGAAAGUGUGGGUAGCAAACAGGAUUAGAUACCCUGGUAGUCCACACUGUAAACUAUGGAUACUAGGUGUAGGGGAUGUUAUGUCCUCUGUGCCGUCGCAAACGCAGUAAGUAUCCCACCUGGGGAGUACGGCCGCAAGGUUG
RNAcentral lists this ribosomal RNA (859 nucleotides) under uncultured bacterium. RNAcentral describes it as "bacterial SSU rRNA". It matches the Rfam family "Bacterial small subunit ribosomal RNA", at positions 28 to 896 of the family's 1533-position model. The record is from RNAcentral.